GACGAACGCUGGCGGCGUGCCUAACACAUGCAAGUCGAACGGAACUUUAUUGGAUGAGACUUCGGUUGAUGAAGAUAAAGUUUAGUGGCGGACGGGUGAGUAACGCGUGAGCAACCUGCCUUACAGAGGGGGACAACAGUUGGAAACGACUGCUAAUACCGCAUAAGCCCACAGUACCGCAUGGUACAGUGAGAAAAGAUUUUAUCGCUUUAAGAUGGACUCGCGUCUGAUUAGCUAGUUGGUGGGGUAACGGCCUACCAAGGCGACGAUCAGUAGCCGGACUGAGAGGUUGAUCGGCCACAUUGGGACUGAGACACGGCCCAGACUCCUACGGGAGCAGCAGUGGGGAAUAUUGGCACAAUGGGGGAAACCCUGAUGCAGCGACGCCGCGUGAGGGAAGAAGGUAUUCGUAUUGUAAACCUCUGUCUUCGGGGACGAUAAUGACGGUACCCGAGGAGGAAGCACCGGCUAACUACGGUG
This 480-nucleotide ribosomal RNA is filed under the name uncultured bacterium. RNAcentral describes it as "bacterial SSU rRNA". It matches the Rfam family "Bacterial small subunit ribosomal RNA", at positions 28 to 507 of the family's 1533-position model. The record is from RNAcentral.